CCGCGGAGCUGUCGGAGGGCUCAGGCUGAAGGGAGCUGGCGCCGGUGGCGCGGGACGGGACGGGGGCUUCGGGUUGCCGCCGCCGCCGGAGCGCUUUGGGUUUGGGCCACGGUCGACGCUUGGCCCCGGAUUAUGGCAUCGCCUGGCCGCCGGCGCGCUUCGGUGCCCAUGGAAUUCACUUGAAUCGGGGCCGGUGGAAGGACGGCGAGACGGACGGCCGCUUUGUGUGAGAACCUGCGGAGCUUGGAAAGGCUGAUCCUCCCUCUUCCUCUUUCUUCGUCCCUUCUUUCCACGCCUGGCCUCCCUCCGGAGGCGGCGGCGAGACAAACCUCCCGGGGAACCGAACCUCCUUGGGCGCCGGGAGCCUCUCCAGAGCGCACGGUGCCAAACGAUUCUUUUGCGCCCUGGGCGCACAUGGUUCCCUUUGUCCUACUGGCUGGGAUCUCCCGGCGCGGUCCCUGAUUUCGAUCCUCGCCCCUCCCCUUUAUUAGCCGCCUCUCCUUCUCUUGCGCUCCCCUUCCCCAACCCGUCGCAGGACCCCGCGAUUAAGUCUCUCGCCCCGCCGCCGUUUCUUUCCCGGAAUGGCCGAGCGCGCUGGGAUCCCACCUGGGAAGGACUCGCCUUUGGACGGAAUAGUUUGCUUUUGCUUUUGGGAAUAAGUGCUUCUUCCUGGAACCAGAUCGGAGUUGGACCAAGAUUCCCUGACACUCUCUUUUUUUUCCCCGGCCUCCCUUCCCAGACAUGAACUUGCCGGCUGUCACUUGGGUUGUUUAACCCGCUGGACGAUCAGGCCUCUGAUGCCAGCUCAGAAAAGUUGUUCAACACAGUCACAAACAAAGAUCCAGACUUAGGAGUUGUUACGCUAACAGAAAAUGAAGAUCAAGAGGCCAGGUCUUUGGCACUCCCCAAAAUAUCAGGAUUAGAACGGAGCCAAGAGAAGAGUCAGGACGGUGGGAAAGAGCCAUCGCUUGAGCCUGUUGUGCCUCAGGAUCUUUGUCCUCAAGUUCCUCAGCCUUUGGUCCCACCUCGUUUGGUGCCACCAACAGAGGCACGUUCUCCAGAGCCUCCUGCUGUCCACCCUGCCGGCUCCUCCUAUUCGGAAGCCCCAGAGAAGCAACCUGCUUUGGAAGAGGCCCAGUUUCCCACCCUUCCUCCUUCCCAAAUACAACAUCCACCGAGGCCUCCCUCUCCUGGGCAGCCGGCCCAUCCGAACCGACCACCUUCUCAGCUGCGUCCUCCCUCCCGUAGCCUUGCACAACAGUUGUCGGCUUACAACAGCAG
This is a long non-coding RNA of Thamnophis elegans (Western terrestrial garter snake), 1281 nucleotides long. RefSeq lists it as uncharacterized. The record is from RefSeq and is a predicted model, not a curated record. Lineage: Eukaryota; Metazoa; Chordata; Lepidosauria; Squamata; Natricidae. The transcript is spliced from 3 exons.